This 10242-nucleotide long non-coding RNA is filed under the name Phaseolus vulgaris (common bean). RNAcentral's name for it is "long non-coding RNA (PVUL_LNC000080)". Lineage: Eukaryota; Viridiplantae; Streptophyta; Magnoliopsida; Fabales; Fabaceae. The record is from RNAcentral.
CAUAUGAAUACAAGCCACCACCAUAUGAAUACAAGCCACCACCAUAUAACUACAAACCUCCUCCAUAUGAAUACAAGCCACCAUCAUAUAACUACAAACCUCCUCCAUAUGAAUACAAGCCACCACCAUAUAACUACAAACCUCCUCCAUAUGAAUACAAGCCACCACCAUAUGAAUACAAGCCUCCUCCAUAUGAAUACAAGCCACCACCAUAUAACUACAAACCUCCUCCAUAUGAAUACAAGCCACCAUCAUAUGGUUAUAAACCUCCAUACAACAGCUAUUCACCUCCUCCGUACGAGUACAAGCCACCAUCAUAUGGUUAUAAACCUCCAUACAACAGCUAUUCCCCUCCUCCCUACGAAUACAAGCCACCAUCAUAUGGCUAUAAACCUCCUUCAUAUGGAUACAAGCCACCACUAUCUCCUCCAUAUAAGUAGAAAUCUCCUCCAUCUCUCUCGCCUCCUACACCGUUACUGCAAGUCUUCACCUCCGCCACCUCUUCCAUGCAUUACUGCGAGUCUUCACCUCUACAACCAUAUUAUUUCGUGUAUACCUCACCCCUGUCACUCGAGUAUUAUUAAGUAAGGGUUUUAAGAUAUUUGAAGUUUUCAAUUAAAUAAGAUUCAACAUUGUCGCAGUUUGUUGGCCAACCUUCGUUAAUAACACAUGGUCUGCGCUAUAGCAAGAGCCAUGCAUGUUAUGGAUGUACCCAUGUUUCACUGUUAUAUACGUAUCAAUGAUCAGUGUAAUUUUAUAAUUAGGUUUGUUUUAAUUUCUGUUAUCGAAUUCCAAUAGUUUCAUAUUUUGUCAUUGGUUGGUGUUUCCAUUUCCUUCUCUGUAUAACUUGGUUUUAUCAAAAUCUGUGUAACCAAAAGAAGUGAAAUUGCUCUUUCUCUUCUCUUUAUGCAUAUUAUGCGAAAUACAAACACGUAUGCCCUUUGAAAUAUUGCCGUAUGUACACCUAUCUCAUGUACCAUCCACUUGAAUGACAUUUUAGAUUUUUUUAAAGUGUGUAAUUAAAAAAAUAAAACAAUUAAAAUAUUAAUUUAUUAGAUGUUGGGUGUAUAUUUGUAUUGUGGAUGAAUGAUUUUUUUUAUUAGCAAUGAGUUAAUAUAAUAAAAAAAAAUAUUUUAGGGUAUCCUAACCUUAUACAUAAGUCGCUUCUAAUUUAAACAAUCAUGAAUACAAAAUAAACUAAGUAAUACACCACUUAUAACUCAAGAUUCUAUGUAAGCAUAAAACGAAUCCACUUUGCUGUGGCUAUAAAUUAACAAUUGAAAAUAGCUAUAAAUUUAAAGGAGUGAUUGGAUUUUUUUAUUGAUUAGGUGUAUUUGAAUUUUUUCCAUUGAGUAUUGGAUUGAGAUUUAGAAAGAUUACAUAGUUUUAUAGAUUUCAACAUGUUAUGACUUAUUAAAUAUAUUGUUUUAAAAUAAGUGAAAAUAUUUUAUGCACUAUUUAUUAGAAAGAAGACUGUAAACUUUUAGAAAAUAUUUAAAAUUAUAAGAGCUAAUAGAAAGAUAGUAGAAAUGAUGGUUGAAUAAAGAAAACCAGAGCAAUUUUUUUUAAUCUAUUAAGAGUUUAUAUAUAGAUUGUAGUUUCAUAUUUUCGUGUAAUAUUAGUAUCUUGUUUUUUUUCUUAAGUUUAACCAACAACAAAAUUCAACAGAACAACAUUACUUAUUCAUGAAAAAAGAGUUAUGAACUAUAUAUGAAUGUCUAUAUUGCCUCUAAAAAGACAAAUAUUUCAUUAAGUAUUUUAUAUCUUACUAAAAAGUGACAUAAAAUUGAUGUUAAAAAUUAAUUCAUCAAAUUUAUAAACUUUUAAUAUCAAUAUUAUUUUUAUAAGUUGUAAUAUAUUUUAAUUAAAUAAUAUCGAAAUUUGUUGUUAUUAUUAAAAACUCUUGAUAAUAUCAAAUAGUAUUAUUGAGAAUUGUUGAUUAAAUAAUAUACUAUUUUUUAUGUAAAAAAUGGUUUCAAAAUCCAUCUUUAAAAUUCUAAUCAAAUACUCUCUCUCAACUCUUAAACUAUAUAAUAUAAAAAUAGAUGUUAAUCUGUUUCAAGUGCGCAUAUAUACAAAUAUUACUAAAAAAUAUUUAUAUUUCAAUUUGAGAAAAAGUGAAAUUAAAAUAUUAUACAGUAUUAAAAAGAACAUUUCACACCAGGUUUAUUUCCAUACAAAAUAAAAUAAUAUUUUAAAAAUAAAAUAAUUUCUAAAAUAGUAUAACUUUUAUUUUCUUUUUGAAAUAUUUUAUGAAGAAAAUAACCUUUUUUUUAAAUAAUUUUUUUUUAUGUUAGGCAUCAUUAUGUAACUUGAGAUCUCAACUAGGCUGACACAUUAAGUAACAACAAUCAUUUGUCAUCACAUAACAAAAUAUUAUUAAAAAAAAAAAUACAAAAAUAUGGGGAGACUAGACCAAAAUUCAUAUGUUAACAAAAACGAUACAUAGGUAGACUAUACCUAUUCAUAACAAAAUUAUAAGAACAAACUAGAUGGAAGUCUAUCUUACUAAUAAAAAGAUUCUUUAUGAAUAAAUCCUAAAUUAACCAACUUAUCUGCAGACGCAUUCGCUUCACGAAAAAUAUGAGUAAUCCUAAACCUAAUUUUUGCACAGUAAUUAAGACAAGUAUUCCAUCGAUUACGAAUCAUCCAAAAAACAUUUGUAAUAACAGUAAACGCAACAAAAACAAAAACAGAGUACUUCUUUUAAUGUAAAAAUAGUUUCUUAUAUUAUAUUUUUUUUUGGUGAAAUUAAGUAAGAAAAAUAUAUAGAAAAUAUAAAAGGAUAUAUAAACAUUUUUUAAUAAGAAAAUGAAUAUUGUUGAGAAAGAAGGUUAAAUUCACAUAGCACAAUAUGUCCUUUUCCAACAUAAAAAGUCAGAUACAAAAAGUUUUUAAAAAAGAAGAUGAAGUAUAAAAGACUAAGUAGCCAAACAACUUUAGAAACAAAUACUUCUCCCUCAUGUGAUAGAUAAGGAGAAGAAAAAACAAAAAAUCUAAGUAAAAAAACCAGCAGACAUUUUUUAAAUAUUUUAUUAAUCUAAGUGAAAAAGAACAAGCAAACAUUGAUACUCAAUUUAAAUAUUUUAUUAUGUCAUUCAUACUUCAUUAGAGUUUUUCUGCCUUGCAAUACGUGUGUAUCUUGGUAUCCAAUUGGUUAUAUUUUAAACAGAAAUAAAUUAUGUUAGAGUGUUGCCGCCGCCGUGUCUACUGUGUCAAAGGCUAUGUUUACACACAUAAAUUAUUUUUUCAAGUUUGACCAGUUAGAAAGUGAAAAUGAAAAGAAACAGAAAAAUAUGAAAUUAAUAUAUAGAAAGACGUUACUUUUAAAAUACACCGAUUUAUAAUAUUUUAAACUUUUUCAAUAUUUAAAGUUUAUAGUUUAAGAGUUGUAAUCUCGAACAAUUCAUAAUUCUAAUAUAUAAACUUUUUAAAAUCUUAGCUUCACAACAUUAUCUCGAGUGACAAGUACUUGGAGAUACGUAAUGAGUUUCUAAGUUGACAUUUUUUGCAUUUAUUUACCAUCCAAACAUAAAUUAUAUACUACUCAAAUCAAACAUGAUUAAAUAAGUAAUUUAGAAGGUAAAAAACAUGCAUGUAAAUAAACUAUUCUUUUGCAAUUUUUUUAUAAUUUUUAUUUUAUUGUAUUACCUUACUUAUAUUGUUUUUAUUUCUAUUUUAGAUUAGUCUAAUACUUCUAUUUAUAUUAUUUUUAUUGUUUUUUAUUUAUUUAUUUAUAAAUAACUAAUAAAUUAAAUGAACAUAAACAAUGUCCAUACACAUUAAACGUGUGUUAAAUGUGUGAUUUACUGUUUAAGUGUCAAAAUAAAGUUUUCCUAAACAUUAUCAUGCACACACACAAAAUUGCUCAACCAUGGUCUAUUGGCCUGCUGCAGCUUGAACAAAACACACACCUAUGUGGUCUAAGCAUCUGCACCCAACUACCAGCAGAAUGCUGCAUACCAGAGAGCAACCACUUUUGUUGCUCUGCUACAUUUAAAAACUCUGUUGCUCUUCUCCUCUGCUAAGGAAUUUGUACUUGUUCUUCCUUUGGCCCAUCGAAUUUCUGCUUAGCUUUACACAACCUUCCAUGCCUGCAUAUUUGCUGCCAUUUCGCCUGCAUCUACAAGACACCUUCCCCAACAGAUUAAACCAGCACAAGUACAUGUUGCAUACACAAAAAUGGCACACAUAACGAUAAAAUCCUUUGUAUACAAAGCAUAUUAUCAUCCAAUCUAAAGCUUUCCUUUACAUCUCCCACAAAACAUACCUUUCCCAACCAUCAAAAGCAAUGAUUGGAUUAACAUAUAAAUGAAUACAUGCUACAAAUAAAACAAAAUUCCAGCUGCCAUAAAACAUCUGGAAGUAACUAACUGCUAACACUGAAUGUAGGAGUUGUUGUACAACUUUCUAGACAACAUUAAUCCUCCCAAGCAUAUGGAGAGCCUUAACUCUGUUCUUACAACUUAAUGCCUAGUAAAAGUUGACUCAUCCAAGUGCUUGUGAGUUUGAACUUUAUCCACCCCAUCAUAGUUGUGUAUGGCAUUCACCAAGAAGUGCCACUUGUAUAUUGAAUCCAGCAAAAACACAUUGUGUUGUCAUGGAUUUCUGCCAUUGGUAUAUUGAAUUCAGCAAAUACACAUUAUGCUGUCAUGGAUUUCCCCCUGCAAAAACAAAUUCCUUAUCUGCGCCUAUGUUUUGGCCUUCACUCCCUUUACACAAAUAAUUUCCUCUUUUCAACACUACAUACCUACCAAAGCAGCACAAAUACCUUCCCUAUUCCUUUAUGAUUACACUUCCUCUACCUUAUACAUAUAAGAAACAUUCUUAUAUGUUUACAAAAGUCCCCCCUUAUGCUUACUUACACUAUCCUACGAUUAAAAGAUUAAUGCAUCAAACUUCGUUUUUAUAUCUUUUGAACGUUAAAUCUUUUGGGCUUUAUUUAUUUACCUUUCUCAGGCCUAAUAAGCUCAGUUGUAUGUAAUAACUUUGUAUAUCAAUUGUGCAUGACAAUGUAUAUGCAUACAAGGAAAAUAAUAACAAAAUUCUUCUCUCUUAUCACGAGUGUACUAUGUAUUUGUCUUGUUUGUUGGGACACUCCAAGAAAUGCAGAAACUCAAGAUGGUAUCAGAUCGGGUCAAGUCUGUUAUACUCCGUUGCCAUGAUUGUCGGUUACUUUGAAUCUUUUCUUUCCUUCUUUUGCUUUUCUUGUGUUUUAUCUCAUGGUUGGACAACAAGAUUCCAAUAAUGAAUUCAAGAAUGAUCAACAAAAUCCAUCUAUUGCUUACUACCUACAUCCACAAGAAAACCUAACCAUGAUCAUAGUCACGCCACAUCUCGAUUUUAUCUCUUGGAGUAGAGUGAUGGAGCGUGCAUUAGUUUCGAAAAACAAGUUUAAAUUCGUUAUUGGAGAGGUACCGCGGAACCAUUACGAUACAAAAAUCAGUAAUGUGAUGAUAUAUAUAUAUAUAUAUAUAUAUAUAUAUAUAUAUAUAUAUAUUCUUAUAUUUUGAAAUGAGAUGAAAACCAUAAACUUUUUUAAUUUAUUUAAAAUAUUUAACCAAGAAUAUUUGAGAGAAAAAAAUUAAUACAUGAUUCAAAUAACAUGAAUUUUAUAAAUUGUUUUAUAUUUUUAAUAUACAUGUAUUACCCUUAAGGUAGUAGUCAUUAGAUUAGAUGCUAGGAGAGAUUUGAGUAGCAUUUGUAUAAGUGAAAUAUAGAAUCAUAAGAACAAAUGUAUCUUUAAGAAUGGGAGAGUAGUUUUUUGGAGGUUUUUACUUUACCUCAAAUGAAUUCCUAGUCUUAGGUUAUGGCUAAGGAAAGAUUGACAGAUUUCUCUUAUUUAGAUUGGUGUUUGGAUCCUCUGUGUUGUAUGAAAUAUUAAGAAUUGACGUUUUGUAGAAUUUUUUUAAUUAUAUGUCUAAGAUUCUUAUAUUAUUUUGUGCAUGUUAUUGUCUUUACAAUUAAUGAGGCUAUGAAAAGAGAUUGUGACUCUUAGAUAAGUUAGUAGGGUUUAGGGUUUACAUGUUUGAAGAAAGUGUACUCUCUUGUUGAAUAGGCUUCAUUGGGACUUGUUUUUGGGUGAGGGAAGUUGACUAGUAAAUGUUAUUGAGAUUUUUUAGUUAUUUUUAGUUGACUCGUAGUUAUUUUUAGUUCAUCAUAACCAUUUUCUAUAUAAAGGUUGGGACACACCCUUGAAGUGUCUCAUUUUAUUUUAUUUAUUUAUUGUUAUUAAGAAAAAACCUUAAAAUAGUAGCAUUAUUAAUUGUUUAUACACUCAACCCUAAAACUUAACUUGAACUUCUAUGUUAUGGACAAACCUCCGUCGUUACAUUCCUCUUUUCUUCUGGUAACUGGUGUUUCCCAUUCUUGCACAAGUUCCCCUUAUCAUUAUACCACUGUUUGCUCCAAAAGUUCUGCUAAAGACACAGCCUUGCAAUAUCGAAAAUUCCCUAGCUACGAGUAUUUUUAUUUUUUUUCAUCCAUGAAUAAAAUUAAAAUGAUCAUUUAAGGGAUAUCCAACAAACCGUAUACAAAAGGAGUACAAACUAUGGUGAAAAAUACAUUAAAACACUUAAAAAAUACUACACCCUAACUGCAAAAAACCUCUAGCAGAGAAACCUCUGCUGUACCUUGGAAGAACCAAACCCGUCACCAUACAUUAUGUACCCUUAACAUUUAAACAUUACAAGCUACAUUACACACGAGCCAACAGUAUUCUGCAUAAGCCCAUCCCCACCCCACCCAAGAUACAUCAGCUUUGUUUAACCAACAACAGAACAAUAAACCCCUAACAACACUACAUACCCCUGAAGAGGUAAGUUACAAAACUCCAUCAUGCAGAAAAACAUACCCAAUACAAAGGAAAACACAACAACAGCCUUAUGCAGGCAACACCAUUAUACAUUGUUCUGUUGCCUACUAAGCUCUCAUACUCAGAUUCGGUACCUGCACAGAGAAGCUCCCAAGUUCUUGGACACAUUGCUGCAUAUAAAAUUAUAGGAUAAGAUUACCUCCCUGCACAUUUCCAUGACUAUACCUCCAUUCACCACCCAGCACCUCACCUUUCAUGUAUACAACUUUGCAUCAGUUUACCAAAGACAUAAUGCACCCUUUCCAUUCCUUUUCCAGAAGCUAUUUCACCCUACACGCCUUCUCUCCUCCAUCCCACAACUAUAUAAACCCCCCUACUAUAAUAUUUUCUUUACAAGUGAUUUAAGACACACCUUAGGUUUUAUACACCACUAUGAGAAACUGAAGUAUGCUAACCUUAUAACCAAACCUUUAAUUGUGGUGAAAAUCUAUUUCUAGUCUACUCUUCCAUUUUUAAAUAACCUUAUUUCUUUGUUUACAAAUCUCUUCAACUAGUACACUUUACACACUGCCCCAUAUUCUAUUCACAUAAGCUGAUUCCUUAUGUAGUCUAAAAGACAAAAUGUGGUUUUGCCAAACUAUGACCAACCGAGACCACUCAAAUUCACUGAAAGCAUGGACACCAAACAUGCCAAACUUCCUACACUUAAAAAAUAAGUGACUAUUUACGAGUAUGGCUACCCUAAAUAGUUAGUUUUUACAUGCAAUUUAAUAUCCAUAAAAUAGAUCUACCGUUUAACGAUUUCAGCAAGACCAUGUUCAUUUUUCUUUUUAAAAUUUGUUUAGGAAUUGUAAAUCAUUUUCGUGUUCAAACAUAAUGGCUCAAUACUGUUUCUUCCACAGAAGCAGUAGUGAUAAAAUAACUUCUCAUAAAAUCCCUAGUUCUUCAAUGAUCUCAUAUUUAACAGUAAUUUGUUUUCGACAAUUAUGUAUCUUUAAAUACUAAUAUGAGAUCAAUGAAAUUCCUUUAGUUGUCGGCAAAUUAAUGGUUGAAAGUCUAACUAAAGGACUUUGUCAACCAUUAUGUUCGUUCGUCUGCAAUGGUGCAUACAGCAUUGAUAUCCAAAAUCACACGACUUUGAUAAUAUAAGAAAAUGCUUUGCCUUGCCCUAUUAUGAAGUAACAAUUUUAACAUCGGCCACCUAAUAUCAAUAACAUAUGAUAAUUACUGCAUAUGACUAAUUAUAAAUGAAUUGAUCAAAUAAACUGAUCACAAGAGGUUCUAACUGCAGAAUUUGCAAUCUGGUUGACAGAAUGUAAUAGGAAUUAAUCACAAGAGUUUUGACUAAUAUAGCUAAUUUACUUAAACUGAGAAAAACAAUAAGGAGAAUGAGAGUGAUAGAGAUCUGGUAGUUAGAAAGGCUAAUCAGAUUAACACAAGUCAAGCAAGCAAUAUGUUAUUUUAAGUAAUGAACUAGUUGCCUUAAUCCUAAUGGAUCAUUAACAAAAUAGGAUUUAUGUUACAAGUAAACUAAUUAAACAAGUAAAUAAGUAAUAUAACAUUACAGAAAUUUACUCAGUCAAUCUAAAUUUCUAGACUCGGCAAUUUUUUGUUACAAUAACCAUGCUUGAGCUUUUAGUCCUGACUCCAUUUACUAUAAUGGCUUUAAAUAAGAUCAGUCUUGGUUGGAAAUAUCCAUUAAAGCUAAUGAUACUUAGUUGUUCUGUUGCAUUAUUUUGAUGGAUAAUAUAAUAUCAAGUGGUAUAGAAAGUUGCAAAAGUUUCACAUUGAUCAUAGAAAGUAGUUAUAUUAAGAUAUAUAUUAUAUAAUUAAUUGGGCAGGUUUCACUUCAUAAUCUGUUUGACACAGUUUUGGCAGCCUAUUCCAAUGUUUGAUCAAAUCUUGGGAGUACUUGUUCAGAUAUGACAUCACCAACUUCCUUUAGUUUAUUGACUUUGUUGAGUUCAAGUUGAAAUAAAAAAGGAUAAUAAUUAAGAAAUGAUCCGAGUUAUGAUGGAAGCUGGUAUGACUAGUAUAUAAGGGAUUACAAUACUUACUUGCCUACCAACCAACUAAAGCAGAAAUUCAUAAGUGUAUCUUCUUGCAAGGCACAGACCAAGGAAGUAAGUAUGGAAAGCUCAGGUGAGGCGAGGCACUUGCCUCCACUCAUCUAUGCUCUGCUGUUCUGCAUAAUUUCUAGCAUUGCUGCUGCUGAUAACCAUCCUUACUAUGGAGGCCAACCAUACUCUAAUCCAUAUCAAACAUCACCUCCCUACUAUUACAAACCACCUCCUUAUCAACCCAAAUACCCUCCAUAUGAGUACAAAUCUCCACCUCCUUAUCAACCCAAAUACCCUCCAUAUGAAUACAAAUCUCCACCUCCUUAUGAACCCAAAUACCCUCCAUAUUAUGAACCAAAAUACCCUCCUUACAAAUCACCUCCUUAUGAACCCAAAUAUGUCUACAAAUCACCUCCACCACCUCCUUAUGUCUACAAAUCACCCCCACCACCUCCUUAUGUCUACAAAUCGCCUCCACCACCUCCUUAUGUCUACAAAUCGCCUCCACCACCUCCUUAUGUCUACAAAUCACCUCCACCACCUCCUUAUCUCUACAAAUCACCUCCACCACCUCCUUAUGUCUACAAAUCACCUCCACCACCACCAUACAUUUAUAAGUCUCCUCCAUAUUACUACAAACCUCCUCCAUAUGAAUACAAGCCACCACCAUAUAACUACAAACCUCCUCCAUAUGAAUACAAGCCACCACCAUAUAACUACAAACCUCCUCCAUAUGAAUACAAGCCACCACCAUAUAACUACAAACCUCCAUACAACAACUACUCCCCUCCUCCAUAUGAAUACAAGCCACCACCAUAUGUUUAUAAACCUCCAUACAACAACUAUUCACCUCCUCCGUACGAGUACAAGCCACCACCAUAUGUUUACAAACCUCCAUACAACAACUAUUCCCCUCCUCCGUACGAAUACAAGCCACCACCAUAUGUUUACAAACCUCCAUACAACAACUAUUCCCCUCCUCCGUACGAAUACAAGCCACCACCAUAUGUUUAUAAACCUCCAUACAACAACUAUUCACCUCCUCCAUAUGGAUACAAGCCACCAUCAUCUCCUCCAUAUAAGUAAAAAUUUCCACCGUCUCUCUCGCCUCCUACACCGUUACGUCUGUAAUCCAACUCCUUCUCUAUCACCUUCACCACCUCUUCCAUGUACAUUACUGCGAGUCUUCACCUCCACCAACAUAUUAUUUCGUCUAUACCUCACCCCUGUCACUCGAGUAUUAAGUUAGGGGUUUAAGCUAUUUGAAGCAAUUAAAUAAGAUUCAACAUUGUCGCAGUUUGUUGGCCAAGCUUUGUUAAUAAUAUAUGGUCUGCGCUAUAGCAAGAGCCAUACAUGGUCUGCACCAGU